UAUUUCUUUUUAUUUUUUUUUGUUUUAGUUUGUAAAAUAUUUUAGUACGUUAACACUAAUUAUUUGACAAAUUUAUUUUUAAAAAUGAUGUCGAUAAGGUAACACUUAUCAUUUGACAGUUUGAAAUUAAUUUGUUAUUAUUAAAUAGUCAUAAUUCAACAAUAAUUUAAAUGUACAAUAAUAGCUAUUUUUGCAAUAUAUGAUAUAAAAUAAAUGUGUACAAACGAAUUAUCGAUGUGUUAGUGUAUAUAAAAUUGAAAAAUAUAAGUGCAAAAUUAAAUUUAAAUAUAGAAAAAAUGUUAUUAAAAUAUUGCAAAUUUUAAACGCGAAUAUCUCUUAAACUAUAAUCUUCCUGCGGCUAUAUCCUUGAUCAGGUUAAUCUCCUCUAUCCGACCAUUUCCUUUGUAUCCUUGAAAUCCUGGGACGGUAUACUAAAUUCUUCCCUUUAUUUAUGUUGCUUGAGGAAGAACGUGAGAGAAGUCGGCGUGAUCUAAAAAUUCACUGAAAAUCACUGAGGGACAAGAGCAACCCUUUCGAUGUGGACGAUACAGUGUUUAUUAAAAACUAUCGGUUAAAUAAGGCGGCCUUUACGUAUGUCCUCGAUGUUCUAGAGAGGAAUGCAAGUUCUUCAAGAUCUUCAUCUAUAUCUUUACUUCAUCGAUUGUCUUCGGUUUUACGGUUUUUAGCUGAAGAAGGCUAUCAGCAUGGAGUGGGUAAAGACUUUGAUAUCCCAAUGGCUCAGUCAACAUUUUGUUGCAUCUUAAAAGAGGUAUUGGGAUUGCUUCAGUCCCAUUUGUGCCCUCAGUGGAUAAACCUCGAGUUAAGUAACGUUGAAAAAAGUGAAGCGAAAAAGGAUUUUUUUCAGAAAUACGGAUUUCCAGGCGCGAUUUUGUGUGUAGACGGGACACAUAUGUAUUAAAAUCGUUGCUCCAACUAAAGAUAAGUUUCUCUAUUAUAACCGCAAAGGAUACUUUAGUAUCAAUGCCAUGAUUAUAUGUAACAAUAAAAUGAAAAUACGUUAUGUGAAUGCUCAGUUUCCUGGCAGCAAUCACGACUCCCACAUAUGGAAUGUCAGCAAUGCUCGUUAUUUUCAUGAGAAAAAGUACUUCGAUGGUGAACGAAACAUUUGGCUUUUGGGUAUUAUACAUACAAACAUAUAUAUUACAAAAAUUCCCAAAAUUUUAUAUUUGUACAGGAGAUGCUGGAUAUGCCUUAGAACCAUGGAUAAUGGCACCAUUCCGUACCCCUCCCUCAGGAAGACCAGAAGAGAAAUAUAAUAAAAUACCUGCAAAAGCGAGAAAUAUCGUUGAAAGAACAAUAAGAGUUUUUAAAAAUCGAUUUACAUGUCUUCUAGGUGCUUGCGAGCUUCACUACGAGCCAUGGAAGGCAUCCCAAAUCGUUAAUGUUGCGGCAGCGUUACACAACGUUUGCAUUCACUAUCGCGUGAAUGAUGAAAGUUUCGAAAAUAAUUCGGAACCAAAUAUUUUUACAGAAAGUAAUGAAAUUCUUUCAUCAACUUAUAAUGAUGCAGCUUCACAAAUCAGAGAAGCUAUAUAUGCAACACUUACCCGAGUAUAAUAUCCUAAAUAAAUAUUAACACAAAAUAUUUAUAGUUUUAAUUAAGUAUUUAUUUAAUUAAUUUAAUUAUUUUUUGUCAUGGCUUGCAA
This is a long non-coding RNA of Bactrocera neohumeralis, 1667 nucleotides long. RefSeq lists it as uncharacterized. The record is from RefSeq and is a predicted model, not a curated record. The transcript is spliced from 3 exons. Lineage: Eukaryota; Metazoa; Arthropoda; Insecta; Diptera; Tephritidae.